CAAAUUAGAGCUUGAUUAAGUAUUUCAUUUACAUUGAAAUGAUAUUGAUGUUAUUCAAUUAAUUUGA
RNAcentral lists this transfer RNA (67 nucleotides) under Maruca vitrata. RNAcentral describes it as "tRNA-Val". The record is from RNAcentral. Lineage: Eukaryota; Metazoa; Arthropoda; Insecta; Lepidoptera; Crambidae.